This 967-nucleotide long non-coding RNA is filed under the name Mytilus galloprovincialis (Mediterranean mussel). Lineage: Eukaryota; Metazoa; Mollusca; Bivalvia; Mytilida; Mytilidae. The record is from RNAcentral.
AGGAAAAUCCAUGUACCAAUAUAGUCGACUGCAGACCAUGUGCAGGUCUGUAAUCGAAUUGAAUAUGUAAACAUUUAUGUAAUACAAAUUUAAACACUGUAAAAAGAAAUGGCAAAAAUCUGGAAGGAGAAUAUAUUUUCUGUCACCUGCUUGACCACAAUAUUCUAUUUCAUCAAAUUGGGGAUCAUAAUACAUUUUUUAAGGAAAAAAACAUAUGCACAUCUACCUUAAAAUUAAAUGGUCUUUUUAUAUAUUUCUACUCAUUUAAAAAAAGUGCAGAAUUGCAAAUUGAUCUAUGACCAUGGUUCAGUUAACUGGAACAAAAAUUCAAAGUACUAGUUAUAACAGGACAAUAAACCUAUUAAAUCAUAUCUAAUAAGGGAAAUCGACUGUAGUGAACUGACAUCUUACAUAUGGAAUGACUGAUAGUUGCAAAAUUACAACGAUAUAAUCUGUGUUAUCGGGCUGACGUUUUUUUUUCUUUUUAGGAUACUGUUUUCAUGAUGGAAAGUAUAUACAACCAAACCACGAAUUUUCCAAAGCGGAUAACGUUAACUUCUGUUUAUGUACAGAUGAUGGAAUUUUGAAAUGUACAAUUCAACACAGUUCUUAUGAAGAUAUGUGUGUUUACUAGAAAUAUCCAUGUAUAUUCUACACAGUAUAGAGGCUGAAUAUUUCAAAAGAUAGCUGUAUGAUUAUAGAAACGUUGGUACAUGCCGUAGUAUUUACAUAUUGAACGUACAGUGUUUUUGUAAUAUAAAACAAAAUUCAAGAAUGCAAAGAUUCCAGUAUGGCAACAGCACAAUUGUCAGUUCAGAAAUUUUUUUAGAUUUUAUCAGAUAAUGAUCAGAUUCCAUAAAGAUUUUGACAAUUUUAAGAUAAAUAUAUACAUUAUUAUUUAUGUCGAGUAUUUUUGCAUUGGAACAACAACUUGUAUGGAAUACAAACGCAGAUAAAAGAAUAAAGA